GCCGAAGGAACUGCAUUCGGACGCCAGCCCCGCUGGAUGCCGAGGAUGGAGAGGCAGCCUGACCCGAGGAGCGCUUCUCCAUAGAGCCAAGCCCUGAGAUUUCCUAGAGGGUGUUCGGCUACCCUUUGGACAGCUGUGGAAGGUUCCGCUGGCAGCACCCAGCAGUGGUCGCAAGCUCUCUCUGGGCACCUUGCUAGCAGCUGGAAGAAAGUCCAGAUGCCCAAAGCCAGUUCCCAGUGGGCCCUUCAGAAGCACUCCGUCCUGGGUCUUCCAGAAAUGGUCAUCUCCUUCAGAAUGGGAUCCACGCCUUCGCAAGCACUCCUGCGAGCUGUCAAUCGAUUUUCUAAAUUUCCUUUUCUUUUGCUUGUCACCUCCUCGGCCACCUCCUCUUCCCAUCCUCCUUUCUACAAACUGCAUCUUGCUCUCUUGUGUUUUCAUUCUCCUCUUUGCCCAAACCCAACAUUUUCAUUUCAGCCUGUCCACGUUUGCUAGCAGAGAGCAAAGAAAGAACUCACAGACCCCUUGCCUCCAAUGCAGCCUACUCUCUCCUUUGGGAGUCUAAUUCAAGGUCUAACCUCCUCCGGGCAUGCUUUUUAGUGACCUAAGCCUAAAUUGAUUUCUGUAACCAUUUCCGGGAUUUGCGAGUGAGAGGGGACAUUUGCCCAACAUCACACUCUGAUUCUACCUGCCGCGUGUAGAGAUGUGAGGACAGUUGACUCCGUGACUGAGAGAUACACCUUGCCUGUAUCAUCCAGAACUUGGUUGAACUCAAGGCCCUGCACUUGCGGAGAAAACGCUCCACUACUGAGCUAUAUCCCAAGCCCCCUUCCUACUUUUAUUUUGAGACAGCCUCAGGAUGUCACCCAGGCUGCACCACAGGUAGCCCAGAAAACCUCGAACUUGAAAUUGCCCCACCUUGGCCUCCUGAGGAACUGGAAUCCCACACCUGAGCCACCCAGCCAGGCUUCUACCAUCCACAAACUUCUCCAAAAACUACCUUGGGACCACUCAGACGCGGGAAUUUGUAAUGUUAUUUUCCCUGCUUUGCAAGGAAGACAUUUGCUUCCUCCUAUUCUGCCUACAAGGCAGGCAAUAUCUCCAGGAGAAAAUGGGGGAUUGCACUUUGGAGCAUUGUGUAUUGAGGAAAAUCUCUUGCCUCGGGCUGCUAAGGACGUAGUUGAAUGUAUUCUGCCA
This is a long non-coding RNA of Microtus oregoni (creeping vole), 1194 nucleotides long. RefSeq lists it as uncharacterized. NCBI's taxonomy places the organism in Eukaryota, Metazoa, Chordata, Mammalia, Rodentia, Cricetidae. The transcript is spliced from 3 exons. The record is from RefSeq and is a predicted model, not a curated record.